AUGCAUAUACUAGAUACACAGAGGAGGUACACUCACACAAAUUUUUGGGAUUUUAUGAGUUGAUUUGGUAAUUUUAAUAAAAUCCAAUAAAAACAGGACAUAAACAAAAGUGAAAUAAUGAAAAAAGGUUUAGUUCAUAAAUUAAGAAAAACAAGCUAGGGGGAUUGCUAUCCACCACCACAUAAUCAUGCAAAUAUGUUCUAUUUCAUUCAAAUUCCUCUGUUUCUAGAUAAAGAUGCUUAGGUUAAUUCAAUGCUAGGACACAACUUAUUACUCUUUCUUAUGUAGACUUAAUUUAGUUCCAAGCAUGUAAUCUAGAAUGGUGUUAAUAAGCAUAUAAGAUCAUAGAAAGCAACCUACACCCCUUUGCAUACAAAGACAUAGAAGUGACUUAUAAUACUAAUAUAAGAGAAAGAUGGCAAGUCAAGGAACCAUGAUAUCCACUCCUUAGCUAUGACAUUCCAAAGUCAUGCAGAACAGACACUAAUCGUCCUCCAAUAUUAUUGAUUAAUUGGACCUUCAAGAAACGAGUAGAGUAUUGUUCGGGCAGGAAAUCUGACUGGUGGGCGUUCCUAGCUCGAGCACACAGCUCCUCGAGUAGUUGGCACUUUGGUUGAUUGUCGGGUUCCUGCUUGUCACAAUACUGCAAGAGGAGAACAAAGUUAGUUCUAAAAGGUGCCUUUAUGGGGCCUUAGGUGUAGGCCUUGAGACUCGUAAUCAAAACCAACUAGGUGUUUAGGCGGAUGUAAAACAAGUGUGUUUUAAGCAGAUUACUUGCGUCCCAAGUUAUUUCUGACUUCUUGUUUAUCAAAGGAUUGUUGUAGGUGGGUUAAGUUUACAUUAAGUUCUUUUCUAUGCCUUGAGAUCAAAGACUUUUAGUUAUCUUGUAUGCUCGAGGGGUGAAGGUCCAUAUCUGAUCAAGUCAUCAGUUUAAUUCAUUCCAAUCUUAAUUAAAAGACUAAGUGAACCAUAUCUGAGAACUGUUGGGCUUUGGAUCAUCAAAUGACCAGAAAUAACUUGAAUAUAAACUGGGGAAUGCAUUAUAACAACAGAUCUAUUAAUUGAAAGACAAAAACAAAGAGAGUCGGGCAAGAUUUCACCUUGUCGGGCAAGGUUAAACAUCUUGCGGUGUCUUCUCUUUGCAGUUUACAAAAGGAUUGAGUAUUAAAGGAGAUGACUGGAAAUGAGUUUAUACACGAUGGAUCGAUACUACAACAUUUAGGAAAAUGUAGCAAAGCAUUUACAUAGACAAAAGAUGUCUUUCAAAGGAAAUCUAAGGCUAAACAGGGUGCAGAGUCUAGACAAAGCACUACUUUCUGGGUAUUUGCUUGGCUGAUAGACAAGUUGUAUGUUUGUUUGUUUGAUUGGUUGAGUGUCCUUGUCUCUGGGCCCUCUUCCUCCUUUUAUAGACGAAUUAGUCCGACCGCCUGUGGCUUUGUUCUUGCCCAAAAGCAAUUGAAGGAUAGUGACUCAUCAGUAUUUUACUUGUAUUGCCACUAAAAAGUACUUUUGGGCUAAGAGUAGGUUGAUUUUCAACAGUUGUCACUUCUCUUGUAAGCACCUAACUUUUGCAUUAAUGGGGGAACGCCAACUGGUCUUGAGAUGGACGGUCUGGGCUUCGAGCGAAACUCUUCUUAUUGAACUCUUUUGGGCUUUCUCUCCUCUAAGCCCAAAGUUAAAUAUUAACCCAAACAAGUAUAAAACUAAAGAUUUGAGUAUACCUCGGAGCCAAGGAUCUAAAUCCCCAAUCCCUUUUGGGGGCCAAAUAACUCUAAUCUCUACCAUAGGUGCCAAAGAAGUUGCAAUGACCGGCCGACUGGCCUAAUGGUUUAUGCUCGCCCAAAAUAUCGUAGUAGAAGUUGUAUUUAUGUUGUUUUUCAAAAAACAACUUUCGGAAACACUCUCUAUCGCCGUUACAGAUUAACAAGUAGAAAUCAUUAAGUAGUAAAAGAGUUUGAAUCAUCACUGGGCAUCAUAAUUAAUAGAAAUUGGUUCACUUGUUAAUUGUAAUUAUCAAGCAUUACUCUUGAAAAUAUGUAGGAUCUCAUUUGGUAAGGGCAGGCACUCAUAGCACUAGAAUUUUAUAUAUGCUUACUAAGUAUGCAUACAAAGAAGUCAUAUACUUAAGAAUUAAUCACUAACUAAUAUAGAUAGUGAGUCAAUUUCCAUCCAUUGAUAGAAGAAAUUGUUUACACUCAAAAUACGCCCAUUUUUACUUAUUUGGGUCAUUGGGGUAAAAUAUGGCAUUUGGAGGAUUAUUAUGCAAGAAGGCUAGCUCAUCAGCUUCCUUGUAGACAUUUAUUUUUAGCUAGGCAUCCUUUGCUUUUCUUGUUUAUUAGCUCUGCUACUCACUUGUAGUAUCGAUCUGAUUUGUAGCUUUUAUGUACUCAUUUCCAGUCAUAUAAAUUACAAGCAAUCUGCAAUAUUAGUCACUUUCCUCUGUCAUUUAUAUUUCCAAGCAACCUUGUCAUUUACAUAUUGUUCUAUCUCUCCAUAUAAGUAAAGUCCUUAUUUUUAAGGCAAACAAAGAACCUUAAUUUGAGCAACUCCCACUCAAAUGGCACAAUCUCUUGGU
Molecule: long non-coding RNA, 2575 nt
Filed under: Malus domestica (apple)
Lineage: Eukaryota; Viridiplantae; Streptophyta; Magnoliopsida; Rosales; Rosaceae
Description: long non-coding RNA (MDOM_LNC002244)
Source: RNAcentral